UCGGGAAUUUUGGGCAAUGGGGGAAACCCUGACCCAGCAACGCCGCGUGAAGGAUGAAGUAUUUCGGUAUGUAAACUUCGAAAGAAUAGGAAGAAUAAAUGACAGUACUAUUUAUAAGGUCCGGCUAACUACGUGCCAGCAGCCGCGGUAAUACGUAGGGACCAAGCGUUGUUCGGAUUUACUGGGCGUAAAGGGCGCGUAGGCGGCAUGACAAGUCACUUGUGAAAUCUCUGGGCUUAACCCAGAACGGCCAAGUGAUACUGUCGCGCUAGAGUGCAGAAGGGGCAAUCGGAAUUCUUGGUGUAGCGGUGAAAUGCGUAGAUAUCAAGAGGAACACCUGAGGUGAAGACGGGUUGCUGGGCUGACACUGACGCUGAGGCGCGAAAGCCAGGGGAGCAAACGGGGAUUAGAUACCCAUGUAGUCCCUGAGCGGGCUGGCAAGGCGCAU
RNAcentral lists this ribosomal RNA (448 nucleotides) under uncultured bacterium. RNAcentral's name for it is "bacterial SSU rRNA". It matches the Rfam family "Bacterial small subunit ribosomal RNA", at positions 355 to 825 of the family's 1533-position model. The record is from RNAcentral.